UACGAAGGGGGCUAGCGUUGUUCGGAAUUACUGGGCGUAAAGCGCACGUAGGCGGACUAUUAAGUCAGGGGUGAAAUCCCGGGGCUCAACCCCGGAACUGCCUUUGAUACUGGUAGUCUCGAGUCCGAGAGAGGUGAGUGGAAUUCCGAGUGUAGAGGUGAAAUUCGUAGAUAUUCGGAGGAACACCAGUGGCGAAGGCGGCUCACUGGCUCGGUACUGACGCUGAGGUGCGAAAGCGUGGGGAGCAAACAGG
Molecule: ribosomal RNA, 253 nt
Filed under: uncultured bacterium
Lineage: Bacteria
Description: partial 16S ribosomal RNA
Rfam family: Bacterial small subunit ribosomal RNA
Source: RNAcentral